AGAUAUCUGUGAUGUGCGUCGUGUUCACUUUAGUGUUGAGCUAACAAUUAAUAAUACCUUGGGAGUUAAACAAGAUAUUAUCAAAAACAAGCCUUAUCCUUUGGUAGUUUGCGAUAAUACAAAUAAUUCCCACCUGCAUAUACCGCGGGUUCAACCAUAACGAGCAUAAAACGGCAUCGACGGAUAUUUU
This 190-nucleotide non-coding RNA is filed under the name Vagococcus sp. RNAcentral describes it as "6S RNA". It matches the Rfam family "6S / SsrS RNA". Rfam says of the family: E. coli 6S RNA was the first non coding RNA to be sequenced, but its function was unknown until recently. It consists of 184 nucleotides that fold into an extended hairpin structure with a large single-stranded internal bulge. Lineage: Bacteria; Bacillati; Bacillota; Bacilli; Lactobacillales; Enterococcaceae. The record is from RNAcentral.